GGGGGGCACAGGGGGAAUAUUUUGCCAAUGGGGCAAGCCUGAUACAGCAAUACCGCGUGUGUGAAGAAGGCCCUCGGGUUGUAAAGCACUUUUAUCAGGAAAGAAAUACCACGGUUUAAUACCCGAUGGGGAUGACGGUACCCGAGGAAUAAGCACCGGGUAAAUUCGUGCCAGCACCCGCGGUAAUACGAGGGGGGCAAGCGUUAAUCGGAAUUUCUGGGGGUAAAGGGUGCGUAGGCGGUUCGUUAAGUCUGUCGUGAAAUCCCCGGGCUCAACCUGGGAAUGGCGAUGGAUACUGGCGAGCUAGAGUGUGUCAGAGGGGGGUGGAAUUUCCGGUGUAGCGGUGAAAUGCGUAGAGAUCGGGAGGAACACCAGUGGCGAAGGCGGCCAUCUGGGGCAACACUGACGCUGAAGCACGAAAGCGUGGGGAGCAAACAGGAUUAGAUACCCUGGUAGUCCACGCCCUAAACGAUGCGAACUGGAUGUUGGUCUCAACUUGGCUCAUCGAGUGUCGGCAGCUCAACCGCGUU
RNAcentral lists this ribosomal RNA (530 nucleotides) under uncultured bacterium. Its description in RNAcentral is "bacterial SSU rRNA". It matches the Rfam family "Bacterial small subunit ribosomal RNA", at positions 343 to 861 of the family's 1533-position model. The record is from RNAcentral.